Molecule: long non-coding RNA, 425 nt
Filed under: Phaseolus vulgaris (common bean)
Lineage: Eukaryota; Viridiplantae; Streptophyta; Magnoliopsida; Fabales; Fabaceae
Description: long non-coding RNA (PVUL_LNC002629)
Source: RNAcentral
CAGAUCUCAGAUUCUCACACUUCACAAUGCACCAUCACCUCCGUCCGGCAAUGAUGCCGGUGCUCGCGGCGGCGGUCCUCCUCCUCGCAACCCUCUCCCAAGCGCACAACAUCACGCGCAUCCUCGCGCAGCACCCGGAGUUCUCCACCUUCAACCACUACCUCACCCUCACGCAUCUCGCCCCCGAAAUCAACGGAAGAACCACCAUCACCGUCUGUGCCGUCGACAACGCCGCCAUGGACGAACUCCUCUCCAAGCACCCUUCCAUCUACACCAUCAAAAACAUCCUCUCCCUCCAUGUCCUCCUCGACUACUUCGGUGCCAAGAAGCUCCACCAGAUCACAAACGGCACAGCCCUCGCCGCCACCAUGUACCAGGCCACCGGCACUGCCCCGGGCUCCGCUGGCUUCGUCAACAUCACCGAC